Lepus europaeus (European hare) is the source of this 3228-nucleotide long non-coding RNA. RefSeq lists it as uncharacterized. The transcript is spliced from 5 exons. Lineage: Eukaryota; Metazoa; Chordata; Mammalia; Lagomorpha; Leporidae. The record is from RefSeq and is a predicted model, not a curated record.
GCGCCCGGCGCCCAGCCCGCUGCCGCGGCUCGGCGCGGCCCCCCAGCCAGCGCCCCCACCCGGAGCCGAUUACCUGCAAUGAUGAAAUGAAGUAACUCAAGAUGAGCAAGUUAAAAGUGGUAUCAGAGAAAAGCCUUACCAAUAAUUCUCGGAUUGUGGGACUCCUGGCUCAGCUGGAGAAGAUAAACACUGAAUCAGCAGAAUCAGAUACUGCCAGAUAUGUCACAUCAAAGAUUCCUCAUCUUGCUGAAAGUCAAGGAACCACUGGAAUUAGCCAGCUCUCAUCACAAAGGAAACUGAUAUAAUACUCAGGAAUGCCAAGGAGUUUGGAGACAAGAAGGAAGACAGGCAGACUUAGACAGUGAAAGAGAGAUACAGAGAGAAAUGUCUUCCUUCUGUUGGUUCACCCCCCAAAUGGCCACUACAACCGGCGCGCUGUGCCGGUCCAAAGCCACGAGACAUGUGCUUCCUACAGGUCUCCCAUGCCGGUGCAGGGCCCAGCACUUGGGCUAUCCUCACUGCCUUCCCGGGCCACAGCAGAGACUGACUGAAAAAGCAGCAAGUGGGACAGAAUCUGACGCCUCAACCGGGACUAGAACCUGGAGUACCAGCACCACAGGUGAAGGAUUAGCCUAGUGAGCCGUGGUGUGACCUUAAACUUAAUGAUUUCAUACUGUUCUCCCUCCUCCUCCUUUCAUAAUGUUCUAAGUAUUAAAUGGAAAACUAUACAGAAAUCACAAAUUUGUUCCACAACACUAAACUAUGGCACACAGUACUUAAUUUCUCUAUAUGAAAUCUGGCUCAAAGCCUCAAUUUUAACAGUUGGGAAAAUAUCCAAUAUGAGUGACUCUUGGGACCUUUUGUAUACUUAGCUUAGUAUCCAAUGUCAAAAAAGAUACUAUGGUUGGCCAAUGCAGUGUUUUGUUGCAGCUCCCAAGACAAUGGAGCCUGAACAUUAGUCAUCUCAGCAAAUAUCAUUUCAUUCCUCAGGAACCGCUACUGCCUCCUGGAUGACUUCCACACCAGACCCAUCCACUUAGAACCUGUCUUUACAAUGUACUGUUAGGCAGCUCUCCAACUUUCAACCCCUUACCUCUUCUUCUUCAACCUCAUCUUCUCUUCCUAGGAACACCUAGAUGAAUGCCACUCCUACAUGAGAAUUUGGAUAGCACUGUACAAAAGAUGUGUUGAAGCUGGUUUUGGUCAGGAAACAUGAAAACUGUUAAUAGCUCCUGAGACCAAGAACCCAGAACUCCUCGGAAGACAAGCGUGAAAAGUUAUAUUCUUUCCUUUUGGAGUUCCUUCAGGCAGGAAAGUGUAAUCAAUAGCUCAGUGAAUUAUCCUGCGACAAUUGAAGAGUACCUAAAGCUGAGAAAGUUGGAUAAGCAAGAUCAAUUUCCCUGUCAUUGUUGUCAACAAAACCUCCCACCCACUAUGAAGCUUCCAUCACAAUCAAGAGGGGAUACUUGCUGCCACCUCCUUUCGGACACUACACUUAAUAGAAGGCCCAUGAGUGACAAACUUUCUUACUGCCUCAUCUGGUAUUUCUCUGAAUGGAAGAAUAUGAUGACUAACUGGUAAUUACAGUAUAUGCAAAAGUGAAAUGAAUGAAAGCAAUGUGAUAAAGAAUAGGAGGGAGGAAUUGGGAAGAUUUUAUCAUAAGAUAUCUAAACUACCUGUAAAAUUUUAGUUAUUCAAAAAUGGACUUAGAUGACUUGUGAGUGCAUAUUACAAUCUCUAAUGCAGGCACUGAAUUAUUUUGGAAGAAAUGUUAUUCGUAAGCUGGGAAAGGAGAAAAGAUUGAAUCAGAUGAAAUUUUUAUUUAAAAUACUAUGAGAUCAAAAAAGAGGAAGAGAGUAGCACAAAACAGAAAACAAUGAACAAAUGGCAAUAGAAAAUUCUUAUGUAUUGAUAAUUAUUUUAAAUGUAAGUGGAUUAAGUUUUUCCAUAAGAAUAGAGUGGCUGAAUGAAUAAAAUAGUAAUAUCCAACUUAAUGAAUGUAAGAGACUCACUGUAGCUUUAAGGGCAAACCUAGGCUGAAAGUGAAAAGUUGUAAAAAAAAUAUUCCAUGAAACCAGUAACCAAAGGAGAACACAUGUAGUUAUAUCAGACAAAAUAAGCUUUACUGCUGGUGCCGUGGCUCAAUAGGCUAACCCUCCACCUGCAGUGUCAGCACACCGGGUUCUAGUCCCACUCAGGGUACUGGUUCUGUUCCAGUUGCCCCUCUUCCAGUCCAGCUCUCUACUGUAGCCCGGGAAUGUAGUGGAGGAUGGCCCAAGUGCUUGGGCCCUGCACCCACAUGGGAGACCAGGAGAAGCACCUGGCUCCUGGCUUCAGAUCGGCACAGUACCCUGGCCACAGCGCGCCUGCCGCAGCGGCCAUUGGAUGGUGAACCAACGGUAAAGGAAGACCUUUCUCCCUGUCUCUCUUUCUCACUGUCCACUCUGCCUGUCAAAAAAAAAAAAAUAGACUUUACUCAAAGGAAAUGAAUUAAGCACCUCAUAAAGAUACCUGCACCUCCAUGUUUAUUGCAACAUUAUUCACAAUAGCCAAGAUUUAUAUGCAACCUAAGAAUCCAAUAACUAAAAGAUGGAUAAAGAAAUUCUGAGAGUGGAGAUAAACACACAUGACAUAUUUUGAAAAUUUCACAGAAAAUGGAAUUAAAGAUAAGUGUUUGUCACAAAGUGAAAUCCAUGCAGUUUCUUCAUAAUUUGCAUUUUCCAAAAAUUUUUAAGUGCCUUCAUAGUUAGAGUUACAGAGAUCUUUAAAAAGAAGAACCUUCCUUUUGCAACAACAGCGAUGCAACCACAGGACAUUAUGCUAAUGGAAAUAAGUAUGACACAGAAAGAAAACUAUGUUGUCUCACAUAGAAAGUCUAAUAAUAUUGAAAAUUUAAAAGUUGAAUACAUAGAACAGAAAAUAGAAUGAUAGCUACCAGUGGUGGGUGUGGUAGGAGGAGAGGAUAGAGGUCAACAUAUACAAAGUUGUAGUUAUGGAGGAUGAAGUAGUCUAGAGAACUAAUGUACAUCAUGAGACCCAUGGUUAUGGUUAGUAAUAUUGCAUUGUGUCCUGGAAACUUGCUAAGAGAGCAGAUUUUUGAAUGAUCAUGAAACAAAGCAAAUUACAAAGGAGUAACAGAUUAUGACUAUGUUAGUUACCUAACAUGAGUGUUUGAAAUAAUGAUUUCAUUAUGUAUGACAAGUCUUCAAAAAGUUGAUGGAAAUGCAU